CGCCUAGCAUAGUGGUGUGGUGGUGUUUUGCAGAUCGACAGGUCGUGGGUUCGAAACCCAUUGGCGA
Molecule: transfer RNA, 67 nt
Filed under: Hordeum vulgare
Lineage: Eukaryota; Viridiplantae; Streptophyta; Magnoliopsida; Poales; Poaceae
Description: tRNA-Cys
Source: RNAcentral